Molecule: ribosomal RNA, 434 nt
Rfam family: Bacterial small subunit ribosomal RNA
ACGGAAGGCAGCAGUGGGGAAUAUUGCACAAUGGGCGAAAGCCUGAUGCAGCAACGCCGCGUGAGGGAUGACGGUUUUCGGAUUGUAAACCUCUGUCUUUGGUGAAGAAUAAUGACAUAGCCGAGGAGGAAGCCACGGCUAACUACGUGCCAGCAGCCGCGGUAAUACGUAGGUGGCAAGCGUUAUCCGGAGUUACUGGGUGUAAAGGGAGCGCAGGCGGGAGAGCAAGUCAGCGGUGAAAUGUAUGGGCUUAACCCAUGAACUGCCGUUGAAACUGUUUUUCUUGAGUGGAGUAGAGGCAAGCGGAAUUCCGAGUGUAGCGGUGAAAUGCGUAGAUAUUCGGAGGAACACCAGUGGCGAAGGCGGCUUGCUGGGCUCUAACUGACGCUGAGGCUCGAAAGUGUGGGGAGCAAACAGGAUUAGAUACCCUGGUA